ACCGUGAGGGAAAGGCGAAAAGAACCCCGGCGAGGGGAGUGAAAAAGAACCUGAAACCGUGUACGUACAAGCAGUGGGAGCACAGGUUUACCUGUGUGACUGCGUACCUUUUGUAUAAUGGGUCAGCGACUUAUAUUCUGUAGCAAGGUUAACCGUAUAGGGGAGCCGUAGGGAAACCGAGUCUUAACCGGGCGUUAAGUUGCAGGGUAUAGACCCGAAACCCGGUGAUCUAGCCAUGGGCAGGUUGAAGGUUGGGUAACACUAACUGGAGGACCGAACCGACUAAUGUUGAAAAAUUAGCGGAUGACCUGUGGCUGGGGGUGAAAGGCCAAUCAAACCGGGAGAUAGCUGGUUCUCCCCGAAAGCUAUUUAGGUAGCGCCUCGUGAAUUCAUCUCCGGGGGUAGAGCACUGUUUCGGCUAGGGGGCCAUCCCGGCUUACCAACCCGAUGCAAACUGCGAAUACCGGAGAAUGUUAUCACGGGAGACACACGGCGGGUGCUAACGUCCGUCGUGAAGAGGGAAACAACCCAGACCGCCAGCUAAGGUCCCAAAGUCAUGGUUAAGUGGGAAACGAUGUGGGAAGGCCCAGACAGCCAGGAUGUUGGCUUAGAAGCAGCCAUCAUUUAAAGAAAGCGUAAUAGCUCACUGGUCGAGUCGGCCUGCGCGGAAGAUGUAACGGGGCUAAACCAU
RNAcentral lists this ribosomal RNA (691 nucleotides) under Salmonella enterica subsp. enterica serovar Typhimurium. RNAcentral describes it as "partial 23S ribosomal RNA". It matches the Rfam family "Bacterial large subunit ribosomal RNA", at positions 500 to 1190 of the family's 2925-position model. The record is from RNAcentral. Lineage: Bacteria; Pseudomonadati; Pseudomonadota; Gammaproteobacteria; Enterobacterales; Enterobacteriaceae.